AGUUUUUUGACGAAAAUGAAAACGUGUCAGUUUGUCGCUUUCACGAGGUUGGAGUAAUAACACGUUCAACUACUUCAAGACAUUGGCUCGGAUGUAGGUUGUGUCUUUAAUUGUCGAUAAAAAUUUAUAACUAAGGAAGAUUUUUUUUCACUUCUCUCAUUGACUUCUCAAACCCCGGCCUGGUCUGUUUCGCAAGCGUUCCCGGAAGUACCGGGAUGUUGCUCCUCUGGCUUUAGAAACUCUGUGUUAUCAAGGAGACGCUCCAUAUUAACUUCUCCACUGGAUUGGUUGAACAGUGCAGAAAACCUCUCUCGCCAGUUUAUUUUUUUCAACACCAGUAUGUGGGGGAUCUAGGUUCAGACUUUUUUUUAAAACAACGUAUUUUUCAUGGGAGGAAAACUGAGGGUCGGGUUUUAGGAUUUGUGUGACAGUUCUACUGCGCAAUCUCCGUAGAGGUCUGUCAGUCAGCUAUGCAGGGGGGAAAAUGGCGUAGAACUGGUUCCCGUAGAGCUCGCAAAGGGGUGUCGAAUACGUGGACCUUGCUCCACGGGACCCCUACAACGACCCAUUACCCCCGGGACAAUAGCAUUUACUGAUGAUUUUGGUGGCUUGGAAGAGUUUCAUCUGCCUCUCCAGCUUCUAGACAAGAUCAUCUCUGACAGUGCAACAACCUGUCCAGUAUUUGACAAAGAUGUGAAGUGAACGAGUGGCAAGACGUCGUGUGGAUUAUGUCCAGACCACAGCGCUCCACGUGAGACCGAUCCAGAUUUGGGGUAACAUCUCCCAAUGGUCACGCCCAGCUGUUGAGGCCAGAGAUGGAUCAAGAUCUCAACCUCCGCCACUAUAUGGCAGAGAACAGAGAGUGGACCGCUCCAGGGAUGUGUGGGGAUACAGGAGAGACUGGUAACAACAGAGAGCCCCAGGCUCAAUCUGUCUGUACCCUCUCUCCUCUAUCCUCAUCAAUCUGUCUCCACCAUUGCUUGUAGACAAUAAUGAUGAUUCCUGUCAAGUUUUGUCCUGUUACUUUCAUAACUAAGGAUCAAAUAUUAAAAUAUGUCGGCUAGUUGGUGGAAUCGUCCCCAGAAUUGGUCCCAUUUGCAUUAAGGUUAUUCACAGAAAUCUCACCAGGUUUUUCUUUCUGAAAUGGAUCUCUGUUCUACUGCCUUACUGCCCAAUAUAACCCCUUUGUCUGAAUAAAUCAAUUUAGCAUUAUAAUGAACAAAAUGUAGGUAUAGUUCAAGAUAUACUGCGGACAGUGGUUUGUUGUUGUUCUGAAAGCCCCAUUCCCAACCUUGACCAGUGGAGUAAAACUUAAGACAUACACUGCAAACUGUAGCAAAGAUCUCUUGUAGCCCCCUAAUCUCACGUGCCAGACCUUACUGCUACAGAGUAGGUUUGUUCUAGUAUAGUGUACCAUAUUCUGAGACUCGUCUGGCUCUGUGAGAUUACGUUAGUAGCCCCAUUAUGAUUGUUGAUCUAUGGUUGAAAGAUGUUAUUAUUGCUCUACCUCAUUGCCGUGUGUUGCACCAUGACAUUUUCUGUAUGAUAAUAACCAGUGUAAAGACAACAGUACACUAAUCCCGGUCCUAGAUAUGUAGGCUAAUGAAUAUCAUAGUUUCCCUUAAGACUACACAUCAUUUGAAGUAGGGACCAUAUAACGUACUGUACCAAAAGUCAAAGAUCGCAAUUCAUUCUUACACCAUAUUGAUUCAUUCUUACACCGUAUUGAUUCAUUCUUACACCGUAUUGAUUCAUUCUUACACCGUAUUGCACAUUUGAUAACCUUAUCAGAGUUUUUAUGAACGGCAUAGAGUCCCAGAUGAUGUUAUUUUAGUUAUAGGGCCGGUUUCCCAGACACACAGUCCUAGUCGAUGACUAAAAAGCAUGGAGAAUUUCCAUUGAAAAAGCUUUCUAGUCCAGGAUUAGGCUUAAUCUGUAUCUGGGAAACAGGCCCAUAGGGUUAAGGUAGGUUUAUAUUUCUGUUUCAUUAGGGCCGGUUUUGUUCUGCAUCAUUUGUGGUCCCCCACCUCCUUUCCUUCCGGGAUAAUGUGCAAUAUGGUAUCUUAUUACUUGUCUUGAUGUUGAUCUAAAUAUGUAAUAUUGUAUGAACAAGUGACAAGUUGUUUGAAAACAACAAAAUUACCAACGUCUUCCAUUAAGAAAUAUUGUAUAGUCUUCAUAUGCAUUAGCUUAUUUAGAGGGAUUGUGGUGCCAAUAUUAUAACUAGCCAUGCAUGAAAGGUAGCUAGUGAUGCUUGCUUACUGAUAAGGAAAUUCUAGAAACAUUGAUUUCUAAAAACAACAUGUUUGGGAGAAUGGUUAAAUUGUUAAAUCUAUUCGGAGUGAAUUAACCACAGAGAUACAAUUAUCUAGUACUAUCUAAAUUGUGUUCUAUGGAAUUGACACCUUAGAAUCAGACAUGAAGUGUUGACAUCCAAUGUGUUAGGCUGCAUUUACACAGGCAGCCCAAUUCAGAUCUUUUUCCACUAAUUGGUCUUUUGACCAAUCAGAUCGGCUAUUUUGCCAAUAAUUGGACAACAUAUUAAGAGUUGGGCUUUCCUGUGGAAACAUAGCCUUCGUCAUUGACCAAUAAAAUAAUGAUCUAGAAUAUGAGAAUAUAUUCAGUAAAAAGCAAGCAUUUGAUUAGAAAUGUUUAGAAGCAAUAAACAAUUCUGCACGAUUUUCAGGUUAUUUGAUCUAUUGUAAUCUCUGUUUAAAGGAAUGUUUAGUAUAUUACUAGCUACAUAAUCAACUUUGUGUUUAGAGGGAAGAGCCAUGGUGUAUACUCUGGUUUAGAAUGCAGUAUGUUCCAAGUAAGAACCACCCAACAGGGUGUGAAGUAUCACAUGUUGAAACAGAACGGCUGACCUUUGAAUUGGCAAAACAGUCUGUCUGUGUAUUCUGGGGCAAUUCAACGUUCAAGCUACAUCCCCUAUGGUACUAGUGCACUACUUUUGACCAAGGUCCAUAGAUACAGGGUCCAUAGGGCUCUGGUCAAAAGUAGUGCACUAUGUAGGGAAUAGGGUGCCAUUUGGGAGGUAGCCUCGGAAUCAUAGAGUAUCACUCUGUAAAGAACUAAGAACCACUGAUUUAGGAGGCCUGUGUUAAUUGCCUCUUUCAUGGUUUACAUUCUGUUAACAUGUUGCACCAUUGUCCAUAUCAAUCGAACUAUAUGUAUUCAUGUGAAUUAUUAUGCAUCCUUCCUAAUAAUUGAAAGCAAUAGAGCUGCCUCAAGGAGAAACGACUGAACAGAAAAUGCUGUAAAACUUUCUUUACAUGCAUGAAUUAAUUCACUACCAUCAUCCUGUCUUGAAUACUGUGUUCUAAAAACAAAUUUUAACGCUACAUAAUGUGGCAAUGGUUAGGAUAAGUAGCUCUAGAAUUUAUUGAUAAUUUAAACUAUAUUAAUGCGAGGAGAAAAGAUUAUGCAUGAUUUAAAAGUAAUCAAUUAUUUGUAUUGCAUGCAAUAAUCAAUUUCGUAAUUUGUGUUGAUCAAUAGAGCUAUGAUGCUGAAAGGUUGAUACUGUGGCACUAUGGUAUAAGUUAGUAAUAUGUUGACCUGUCUUGAAUAACAGGGAUGGUUGUUGACAUUACAGUGAACACACUGUACCCACUUGUUCUCCCGUUGUGAUAAAAGAUGUAUGACGUUGAUCGCAGCCUGAAAUCCAGUCUGUUUGUGCUAUAAUUGGGAUGACAAGGAGUGGGAUGACGGGGCGCAAAGACUGGAUUUCAGGCUGUUGAUCAAGUAUUACUAAUAACCAACAGAAUGAGUUGACUGUGGGUUGUGGUGUGACUAUCCACUCCAGAGAGAGGCCCUGGGCAUGCUGGAGCAACGGAGUCUCCCGUCUGUUUGUGUAUUAACUGAAGAAAUUUGCAUCAGAAAUUCAGCAAUAAAAAGCAGCAUGGUGCCAAUAGCA
Coregonus clupeaformis (lake whitefish) is the source of this 3916-nucleotide long non-coding RNA. RefSeq lists it as uncharacterized. The transcript is spliced from 3 exons. The record is from RefSeq and is a predicted model, not a curated record. NCBI's taxonomy places the organism in Eukaryota, Metazoa, Chordata, Actinopteri, Salmoniformes, Salmonidae.